RNAcentral lists this small nucleolar RNA (132 nucleotides) under Dasypus novemcinctus (nine-banded armadillo). Its description in RNAcentral is "Small nucleolar RNA SNORA51 (ENSDNOG00000035000.1)". It matches the Rfam family "Small nucleolar RNA SNORA51". Rfam says of the family: ACA51 is a member of the H/ACA class of snoRNA that guide the sites of modification of uridines to pseudouridines. Lineage: Eukaryota; Metazoa; Chordata; Mammalia; Cingulata; Dasypodidae. The record is from RNAcentral.
GGCCUCCUGGUUCUUACCACAGGCUGUGUUCUUGUGCUGACUGUGUAGAAAAAAGAGGCAGAGUGAGCCUACCCCAUAUACAUCUCAGUUCAGGCCUUGUGCCUGGUCUGAAUGGUGAAUGAGGGGACAUGG